AAGGCUUGACAUGUUCGGCAAAGUUGCUGAAAGGCAAUAGAGGUUAUCCGAACACAGGUGCUGCAUGGCCGUCGUCAGUUCGUGCCGUGAGGUGUAUGGUUAAGUCCUAUAACGAACGCAACCCUUGGGCUUAGUUACCAGCAUUCAGUUGAGAACCCUAAAUAGACUGCCAGGGUAACCUGGAGGAAGGAGAGGAUGACGUCUGAUCAUCAUGCCCCUUAUGCCUUGGGCUACA
This 235-nucleotide ribosomal RNA is filed under the name uncultured bacterium. Its description in RNAcentral is "partial 16S ribosomal RNA". It matches the Rfam family "Bacterial small subunit ribosomal RNA", at positions 976 to 1218 of the family's 1533-position model. The record is from RNAcentral.